Long non-coding RNA from Equus caballus (horse), 1557 nucleotides. The record is from Ensembl. Lineage: Eukaryota; Metazoa; Chordata; Mammalia; Perissodactyla; Equidae.
CACAUUCUUAUAUAAACCAUUAUAUCUUUAUAAAGUUUCCUUUUAAACAUCUAUGUCUUGAACUUCCUUAGUAACCUCUAUUCAAAUAAGAUUCUUCUGGGGCCGGCCCUGUGGUGCAGUGGUUAAGUUCACACAUUCCACUUCAGCGGCCCAGGGUUCACCGGUUCGGAUCCCGGGCACAGACCUAUGCAUGGCUUAUCAAGCCAUGCUGUGGUAGGUGUCCCACAUAUAAAGUAGAGGACGACGGGCACAGAUGUUAGCUCAGGGCCAGUCUUCCUCAGCAAAAAGAGGAGGAUUGGCAGGAGAUGUUAGCUCAGGGCUAAUCUUCCUAAAAAAAAAAUCAGAUAAGAUUCUUCUAUAAAGGUUUCCUCUGUUAUGCCAUUUUUUUAAAUCUAGAAAGAAAUUAGUUGUCCUUUGUUUCUAGUAUUUGAAUUUUUUUGCAGUGUGCUCAUGAUGCAAAUUCAAGCUGUUUGUAGCUGAUGCAUUGGAAUAAAUAAAAUGGGAUUUUCAGCUAAGAUGUUUCAAGUCUUUACCUGGGACAAAGUGACAUGCAUCUGGAGAACAGUAAACAUAGUCUUCAGUGUAAGAAAAAGCAAACCAGAGUUCAUAUCACCCUUAGGCACAAAAGGGAAGUUCUUUCUUUUACUUUUUACUUAUCACAAUAACAGGAAAAGGCAAAAGAUGUGUGAAGCUGAGCAGAAAUUGAACAUGAUUAAGUGCCAUUAGACAAGUCAGCUUUCUAUCUAAAAGCCAUUGCUGCUAAUUUACCAACUCAUAUCCAUGUUUGAACGUAAGACAGAAAUACUGAGCAUGGGUGUUUGGAAGAUGAGAUGUUACAGAGGAGUCUACAUAUCACACAUACCAAUCAACCUGGGAGUGAAUAAACUCCACUAUACCCCCAUGAAUUGAGAUAUACAGAAACUUCCAUCAAAGUGGUUUGAAAUUUUGGGCUUUGCCAACGUUGUUUAACAAAACCAUAAUACAUAAAAGAAAUGACAAUUUUAUGCAUAUACUUUUAAUAAAGAACAUAGGAAGAUAAUGCUGGUCAGUGUUUGUGGAUAUUUCUGUAGCAAUACAUAUGUUUUUAAGAAUACUAUAUACAAUCAGUUUGAGCAGACUGGUGGAAAGGAUUUGCAGCAAAUGGCAACUUGAGCUUAACUGCUGAGGUCCCCAGUGCCUUUCUUUUUAUGGCUCUCCAAUACAUUUCCUAUAUUACCAAGACCCAGUACCAGAUUUCCUGCUGUGUCCCUUUGCUGAUUUAGCUAGCAGAGUGACAGCAGUUAUUCCUUGAAUGCAUCUUAUCUUAUUGGGUUUUUUUCUUUUAGUGUUUUCCCUACUAAAAAUCCAUUUCCUGAUAUAUUGAAUUCAUUGUCUGUUUUAACUCAUUUUGCUGAUGGCCAUAUACCAGUCUGCUAUGAAGAACACAUUUAAUAGUUUUGACCAUUAUGUGGGACACAGCCCUAGCCCUUUUGGGGAAGUAAAUAGUCAUGGGUUGCAUGCUAGUAGAAGCCACCCAUUCAUUAUUAUAUUGCAUAACACCUGCAUGCAAAAGGCUAC